GGCCACAGUGAAAAGAUUUGAAAGGAGACCUCUGCUGUUCUGCAAUGGAAAGGAUGGGGGACAGUCAGUAUCUGGAGGGGGCAGAAAGUAGAGACAACCCCCCCACACUUGUGAACUUUCUAUUUUUUUUUUUUCAUUUUUCCUUUUUAUCAGUACCAGGGAUCGAACUCACGACUGGCUGCUUGUAAGGCAGGCGCGUAUGCCUGCUGAGCUAAAUCCCCAGCCCAAACUUCCUGUUCUACAUGAAGCAGAGUGGAGCUGGGGAGAAGCUGAUACAGGGAAGGAGUGCUGGGCAUACCAAGAGCCCAGACCCAAGGAAUGUGGAUUUGUAGCAGCUGUGUACUGGGAGUGUGUACUGGGAGCAACUGUGUACUAAUCACUAAAAUAGUUCUGGUGAUUUAUUCUAGGAAAAGGAAGAUUGAUUCAAAGAUCUCUGAGAUCAGAAGGCCUCAAGGAGGGCUGGGAAACUGCUAGGAACUGGAGGGCAGUCUUCAUGUAUUUUUGUCUCUGGCCUCUAGGCCUCAUGCUUGGUCUGCAGAGACCCCAGGACAUCUGUUUAGCACAACUGGGGUCAAGGAUCCAUUCAAAGUUCAAUGAACUCCAACCAAGGCGCCAGGAGUCACACAACACUAACCCUACCCUGGGGCCUGUGGGUAUAGAAACUAUAAUCCAAAGAUGGGCUUUUGGGCUUGACUAAGCUAAAGUGGUGUGUACUCACAAGCUCAGGUCUGCAGGACCAAGUAAUUUCCUUUGUUCUGUUUAGGAUGGAAUAGUGGAAAAGGCAGAGUGCUGAAAUGAUGCAUGUGUGUGAUUUUUAAAGAGUAAGGAGCAGACACAGUGACAAAAUGUCACCAAAGUGACCGGCUGAGGAUCUGGACUGGACACAAUGAAUAAAGCCUGGAAGAUUCUGGGAAAGAGAACAAGAAGUCACCAAGAAGCAAGCCCUCCCUGCAAAUUGGCGCCAUUGCGGGCCAUAGGAUGGGAGCCAGAUGUCAGCCCCUUCCGCAUGAGCUGGGAUACAAGAGCCAACUCCUGUACCCAUAUUGCCUGUAAGCCACCAGCUGAUCCAGAGAAACACAGGCUGCGAUGAUAGCUAUUGAGGUAAAAUAUAAUUUAAUGCUUGUAGUGUUUAGUGUUUCAUUGAUUUCAUAAGUCUAAAGUUAGUAGUCUGAUCAUCUAUUCAGAGGAUAAUAAUAUGGAACGUAAGCAUUUAUGGGGGAAUCGCCUUCUGAAGGUAGUAGCCAUUGUUACUUCCCUAUUAUCUUGUUUUGAAAUGUUGUAUCAUUUGCAUUGUUUUGUUGGGUUGGAUUUCAUUCUGUUUUGUUUCAUUUUAUUAUAUCAGCAUGGGCAGCUAUUUCAAAGAUAACAAGAUAUAUUAUAGUAGCCAUUUGGAUUUACUCUUGUCUUGUCCUUUUUAUAAUUCAUUGUUUUGUUUUUACUGGCUCUAUUCUGUUUGAAGAUAUCUGGAGCUAUUUUGAAGACAAGAGGCAUUAUGGGAUCGAAAUUGAAAGAGUUUUGGCCCAGGCCGGACACUGUAGCUGGAAAAGCCUCAGCCGGAACCAAGGAGCUCCUAUCUCCCCCCACCCUUAGGGAUUUACCUCCUGUGCCAAACUAGUGCCAAUGGGCUACUUGUGCAUCCCUUAAUGCCCCUCAGGCACCACACCUAACCUAAGCUACAUAUAUGCCUCCACUCCACGUGUUCCACAGAGAGAUCACCGACCCUAGGGGGGAAAUGCCACGCCCCAGGGGAAAAGGUCGUUUAUAUUUCAUACUUCUUACCUUUUCAGGUCCCCCACAGUUCUAGCAGAACUCACCACUGCCUACUUGCAAGGCAGGCACUUAUGCCGAUGAGCUAAACUUACUCAGCCCUGUAAUUACUUUCUUGACCCCUGUAACCACAAGAGUAUAACCAAACAUGCAAGAUGCUUGAUUGUACCAUUGUACCAAGCUUCAUGAAUUGAUGAUUAUUAAUUUACCCUUGUAACUGAUAAUCUCACUCUGCUAGAUUAUCAUAAGAACUGCCAGGCUGUUCUGUCUCGCCUUUGUACAUUCUUUGUUUAUGCAUCAUACAAAAGCUCUAGAGCACCAGAGAUCCGGGCGUAAUGUUCUGGGAAUGAUCCCCAUCAGAGCCCAUCAACAUAAAUAAA
This is a long non-coding RNA of Cavia porcellus (domestic guinea pig), 2147 nucleotides long. RefSeq lists it as uncharacterized. NCBI's taxonomy places the organism in Eukaryota, Metazoa, Chordata, Mammalia, Rodentia, Caviidae. The transcript has 3 exons. The record is from RefSeq and is a predicted model, not a curated record.